RNAcentral lists this RNase P RNA (402 nucleotides) under Bacillus subtilis. RNAcentral describes it as "ribonuclease P RNA subunit". It matches the Rfam family "Bacterial RNase P class B". From Rfam's summary of the family: Ribonuclease P (RNase P) is a ubiquitous endoribonuclease, found in archaea, bacteria and eukarya as well as chloroplasts and mitochondria. Its best characterised activity is the generation of mature 5'-ends of tRNAs by cleaving the 5'-leader elements of precursor-tRNAs. The record is from RNAcentral. Lineage: Bacteria; Bacillati; Bacillota; Bacilli; Caryophanales; Bacillaceae.
GUUCUUAACGUUCGGGUAAUCGCUGCAGAUCUUGAAUCUGUAGAGGAAAGUCCAUGCUCGCACGGUGCUGAGAUGCCCGUAGUGUUCGUGCCUAGCGAAGUCAUAAGCUAGGGCAGCCUUGAUAGGCUGACGGCAGGAAAAAAGCCUACGUCCUUUGGAUAUGGCUGAGUAUCCUUGAAAGUGCCACAGUGACGAAGUCUCACUAGAAAUGGUGAGAGUGGAACGCGGUAAACCCCUCGAGCGAGAAACCCAAAUUUUGGUAGGGGAACCUUCUUAACGGAAUUCAACGGAGAGAAGGACAGAAUGCUUUCUGUAGAUAGAUGAUUGCCGCCCGAGUACGAGGUGAUGAGCCGUUUGCAGUACGACGGAACAAAACAUGGCUUACAGAACGUUAGACCACUU